AUUUUCUCUUUUCUUCUUCUUCUUCUCUUCCCUUCACCGCCAAGAGUUUGAAGACAUCCAAGUUCCCUUUAUUUUUUUUUUCUUUUUCCUUCUUCAAUUUGCAGAGAACUUCUAAGAGAGAGUUUGGAAGAAGAAGAGAAAUUUUACUAGAAUUUUUAGGUUGAAGAAGAGGAGGAGAACUCAAGCAAAGUGUAUCAAUGGCUGAAUUUUAGUUCAUUCUACACAUCACUGGUUUUUAAUUCGGUUUGAACUCUUCAAAAGGAAUUAAGAGGGCAGUUGGUUUUCACUCGAAAUCAGGAGGUCUCUGGUUUUUCUUGUAUUUCAGAGUCUAUCGGUGGAUUUAGAAUCUCUAUUUGGAGCAAGUUAAAGAGGUCGUGUGCGCGCGAUUCUGGAAGUGGUUCUAUUUUGAGGGUUAUAUGUGUUUAUGCACGGGGAAUCGGAUUUAUAUGUCUUCAGGCCGAGAAGAAUUAAACCGAGCUUAUAGACCAAGGAUCUAGCCCAAGACUGUGAGUGACAAAACCAACUUUGAAAUAUUUUCCAUAACUGUUAUUAUGAUUGAAUGCGAUAAAUGUUUAUUUACGAAGCCAUGAAAGGUAUUUGAAUUUCAUGACUAUUUUCAAGUAUACAUUUGGAGACUAGAUUUCUUAAAGAAAUUUAUGCUAGCACGUAGAUAUUAAAUGUUUGGAAAGUAUUUAAACCACAAUAUUUUAAGCAAAGCAUGAAUUAGUAUGAAGUUUUGUUUUAAGAACUACAAUUUUCCACGAAAGAGCUGAGUAAAGUUCGAGCUUUGUGUAAAAUUUAUAAGCAGGCAUGUUUUAAUAUUUUAUGAUGAUUUAUGAAAUUUUCAUGAACUACAUGACUGAGAUCUUGAGCCUAAGGCUAGAGAUUACCGUGUGCACACUGGUUAGAUUUCGUUGUUGACGUUGAGUGUACUCCGUAACAACGAUGCUGUCGUGAGUGCUGGGCGGGCCCCACUACAUCGUAGUGCUUGUAAACGUUGUUGUACUAGGUGUACCCUACACAACGUAGAUUCGUCAUGUUAGUUAAAAUGCUUCGAUAUACUUGAUAUGCCUUGCUAGAUUUCAAUGAUGAACAUGCUGAGUAUUUAAGGAAGCUAUUCUUACUAUUACACAUUUACAUUUACGACUUGUAUAAACAGAUUUAUAUGUGUAAAGUUUUCACGUGCUCUUAUCUUUAAAUUCAUAGUUUUAAACUGAGUCACUCACUGAGCUUCAUAGCUCACCCUUUCCAAAAUGUUUUACCCAUUUUCCAGGUAGAGAUCGACUUCCUGGUGCCUGAUAGACUGCCUUAGUCUGCGGAAGCUUCAUUAUCGAUUGCCAGUACGUGUUUUGAGUUGGGCAUAAAGUCUGUUGUGUUGUGAUGUAUUCACACCCUUGUAUGUUAUAGAUACUCCACAGUUUGUAUAAGCUUUAGGAGCUGUAGUUGUGUAAAUUUUGUUGGUUAUAUUUUGAUUAAGGUGUCUUUAGGUUUACUCGUGAAAUCGGUAAAUUUUGAGGUACACUUCAUGUAUGUGUUUGACUAGCUGUGUUUGACUAGCCUAGGAUCCGCUGUGUUUUGUGGCAUGUACAAUAGUUUAUAUACUAGAUUGGCAAGUUCAUCACAUGAAAGUUUUAAGCAGAGUCGACAGAUACAGGUACAGAAAAGCGUUGUUCGUCGGCUUCACGCCAUCUUUCGGUCUAAGGUAGCAGGUAGUCCGGGACGGGGUGUGACAUAAAUGAGAGGUUGGAAACCGCAAAUGCAAGGGCUCAAUCGUUUGAGAAGAAGCAAGGAUAUUGCAACAAGAAAAAGGUUCAUAUUGUAGCUUACACAUGUAUAUUUUGUUUAUAUUAAACAAGAAAAGGUUCAUAUUGUAGCUUAGACAUGUAUAUGGUUCAUUGAUAUAUAUAUAUGUGCAAUUUCUUUGA
This is a long non-coding RNA of Cucumis melo (muskmelon), 1925 nucleotides long. RefSeq lists it as uncharacterized. Lineage: Eukaryota; Viridiplantae; Streptophyta; Magnoliopsida; Cucurbitales; Cucurbitaceae. The record is from RefSeq and is a predicted model, not a curated record. The transcript is spliced from 4 exons.